GCACAUAAUAUCUUAUAAUGUUUACAUGUUAACCAUACAAUCAACAGUACUAUAUCUUACAUUCACACAACAUUCAUGAAACACGUAGAAACUGGAUCAGAAAAGAGCUCACAAGUUAUAUUAAAUCCAUGGUAACAUGUCAUGCCAAUUUACACACAAUUCAUGGUACACAUAAGCUAAGAUGAAAUAAGUUUGGCCAAAAUGGUAGAUGUACUAGAGAGAUUCAGUUCCACAACCCAUAUCUAAUAGUUUGCUUCCACACUUUACAAAAUGAUCCACCUCUAGUGUCCAAACAAAAGUUUUCAUCUAUAGCUAGGAUGUCCAAAACACGCUGUCAUGAGCACUUUGAUCCAAUCAGUGGUUGCAGUCUACUCCUAGCUAUUUUCUCCCACCACCUGUAAAAAAAAGUUGAAGUUCAUUAGAAAAAAAACACAACCUAAAACUUCAAAAAAAAAAGCAUCAGUCAGUAGUCCGCACCACCACCACCACCAAGCACAAACUGCCAUCAGGUUUCCUAGUAAAAGUUUCAUGAGGGAAGUGUGAAACAUGUUACUUGUGCUAAUUAACCUAGAAACUAACAACUUUAGUAGGUUCAAGUAUAUAGCAGCAACACUACAAAUAUGAUUUUGACGAAUAGCAAUACAACAGGCUUUCUUGUCCAGGUGGAGAAAUCAAAGGCAAUAUAGUAAAAAAGUACAUAUUGCCUCUUGAACUGAAGCAUCUCAGGUCAGAAGAGAACACAAAACAAAGUACAUUCCUCCAGGAUUUCAUCUCAUUAUUUCACAAUGUAUUGUUAUAGGCAAGAGCUCAAACAUGAAAACACUACAAAGACCGGCGCGUCAUUGCCGCGCCUUGCUUGGAGGUGGCUAGCCCAAUGGAUUCUUUUAUUUGUCAUAGACAACUUUAGCUGUUGAUGGCUACUGUUCUAAGCAUGUUGUGUGGGCUGAUCAAAUUGGAUUAUAAUAAAAGAGGACAUUGUUAACAGAGAUAUUUCUUCUUUUAUUCUGAUUAUAGAUUCUUAUUUUUUUUUUGAACUAAAUGAACUUUCCUUUGAAUGGUAUUCAAGUGAAAGCACUCAACAAACAGAGUUUAAUUUGCCAUCUCAUUCACUGCUCUUUGAACAGACUCUUGUGGUCAGGGAAAAAGAACUGAAUUUGGACUUACCUCUUAAGUAGCUUUCCAUCAAUUGACAUAUGUCCAAAUAAAUAGUCACUGUAAAGCACUAAAAAAAUAUGUGCCAAGGCAUGUUCAGAAAAAUAAAAUGAUCCAACCGAGAGGUGCAUACAUCAGAUAUCCAUCAGAAUUUACUAGGGGGAACCAGAAGCAUAGUCCGUAAGUGAAGUUGUCGAGAGCUUUACCUGAUACUGCUCAGUCUAAUCCACGAGCUUGGUGAGGAGGCACCUGUAGCUGCUACGGAUUUUCUUAGGGCAAAGAUCCAAAGAGCACCUUCUUCUUGUACACCUCAGGCAACCACGACUACAACCUGCUGCUGCCUGCUGCAAUAGAGGAAAUUAUAGAUCCAUGAUUCAGUUAGUAAAAUGGAGGAAUCGGAGGGGAUGGAGCACCAUCCGCAUGAACUCAGAGGAGGUGGGGGCACUGCACACGAAGGAGACCAAGGUCACUUACGGGGGACGAAGGAAGGGGCGAGGUGAGGUCACCGGCGUCGUUAGGGUUUGCCGACGGGGGGAAGCAAGCCUAGAUCGCCGCUGGGAUGGAGAAGUCAAGCUGAGGGCACAGCCAGUCUACAGGGUGGUGGAGGGCGCAGCUCGUGCCGACGGUGGCGGGGGGCAUGGCUCGGUUUGUCACAGCGGCGGCAGGGGACGCAGCUCACGCCCGACGACGACAUGUUUCUUUUCCUCUUCGUGAAAUCGGGCGAGCAGGGUGGACUGGCGGCGCUUUGUGGUCUGUGCGUGUAGGGUUUGGGAAAGGGGUGAGCGGCUCACCAAAUGGGCUGCAGGAACGUCGGGCUGGAAUGGUGGGCUUCCAUUUUUUUGUUCUGACACAU
This 2005-nucleotide long non-coding RNA is filed under the name Sorghum bicolor (sorghum). Its description in RNAcentral is "long non-coding RNA (SBIC_LNC015366)". The record is from RNAcentral. Lineage: Eukaryota; Viridiplantae; Streptophyta; Magnoliopsida; Poales; Poaceae.